RNAcentral lists this transfer RNA (72 nucleotides) under Myotis brandtii (Brandt's bat). It matches the Rfam family "tRNA". From Rfam's summary of the family: Transfer RNA (tRNA) molecules are approximately 80 nucleotides in length. Their secondary structure includes four short double-helical elements and three loops (D, anti-codon, and T loops). The record is from Rfam by way of RNAcentral. Lineage: Eukaryota; Metazoa; Chordata; Mammalia; Chiroptera; Vespertilionidae.
GCCGGUGUGGCUCAGUGGUUGAGCGUCCACCUGUGAGCCAGGAGGUCCCGGGUUCGAUUCCCGGUCAGGGCA